GACGAACGCUUUCGGCGUGCUUAACACAUGCAAGUCGAACGGAAAGGCCCUGCUUUUGUGGGGUGCUCGAGUGGCGAACGGGUGAGUAACACGUGAGUAACCUGCCCUUGACUUUGGGAUAACUUCAGGAAACUGGGGCUAAUACCGGAUAGGAGCUCCUGCUGCAUGGUGGGGGUUGGAAAGUUUCGGCGGUUGGGGAUGGACUCGCGGCUUAUCAGCUUGUUGGUGGGGUAGUGGCUUACCAAGGCUUUGACGGGUAGCCGGCCUGAGAGGGUGACCGGCCACAUUGGGACUGAGAUACGGCCCAGACUCCUACGGGAGGCAGCAGUGGGGAAUAUUGCACAAUGGGCGGAAGCCUGAUGCAGCAACGCCGCGUGCGGGAUGACGGCCUUCGGGUUGUAAACCGCUUUCGCCUGUGACGAAGCGUGAGUGACGGUAAUGGGUAAAGAAGCACCGGCUAACUACGUGCCAGCAGCCGCGGUGAUACGUAGGGUGCGAGCGUUGUCCGGAUUUAUUGGGCGUAAAGGGCUCGUAGGUGGUUGAUCGCGUCGGAAGUGUAAUCUUGGGGCUUAACCCUGAGCGUGCUUUCGAUACGGGUUGACUUGAGGAAGGUAGGGGAGAAUGGAAUUCCUGGUGGAGCGGUGGAAUGCGCAGAUAUCAGGAGGAACACCAGUGGCGAAGGCGGUUCUCUGGGCCUUUCCUGACGCUGAGGAGCGAAAGCGUGGGGAGCGAACAGGCUUAGAUACCCUGGUAGUCCACGCUGUAAACGGUGGGUACUAGGUGUGGGGUCCAUUCCACGGGUUCCGUGCCGUAGCUAACGCUUUAAGUACCCCGCCUGGGGAGUACGGCCGCAAGGCUAAAACUCAAAGGAAUUGACGGGGCCCCGCACAAGCGGCGGAGCAUGCGGAUUAAUUCGAUGCAACGCGUAGAACCUUACCUGGGUUUGACAUGGAUCGGGAGUGCUCAGAGAUGGGUGUGCCUCUUUUGGGGUCGGUUCACAGGUGGUGCAUGCCUGUCGUCAGCUCGUGUCGUGAGAUGUUGGGUUAAGUCCCGCAACGAGCGCAACCCUUGUUCACUGUUGCCAGCACGUUAUGGUGGGGACUCAGUGGAGACCGCCGGGGUCAACUCGGAGGAAGGUGGGGAUGACGUCAAGUCCUCAUGCCCCUUAUGUCCAGGGCUUCACGCAUGCUACAAUGGCUGGUACAGAGAGUGGCGAGCCUGUGAGGGUGAGCGAAUCUCGGAAAGCCGGUCUCAGUUCGGAUUGGGGUCUGCAACUCGACCUCAUGAAGUCGGAGUCGCUAGUAAUCGCAGAUCAGCAACGCUGCGGUGAAUACGUUCCCGGG
Molecule: ribosomal RNA, 1343 nt
Filed under: uncultured bacterium
Lineage: Bacteria
Description: 16S ribosomal RNA
Rfam family: Bacterial small subunit ribosomal RNA
Source: RNAcentral